AAUGAGAUGUGGAAUGUUCAGGAGAUUUUCUCUUACGUGACUCCACAUCUUUCCAUUGUUGAUACAAUUAGAGAGUUUGUUGAUGCGGUUUAUUGUGAGGAUGACUGUGCUGCUGUUAAGUAUGGUGGAUAGAUUUGUCCCCGGACAUGUGCAUCGUAGCUAUGGUAUGCUUUUGCUUUACUAGUAUUAUAUAACAGGUUCAUUACAAUGGCACUACAAAUUUAUAUUGAAGUAUGGAAAGAGUCCUAAGCCAAAAAACAUAAAUAAUGUAUAAAAAUUGAAAAUAACACCAAAAAGGGAAGAAGCUACAACAGUUAAAGAAAUCACCAGCAUGUGUAGAUAGGUUUAUGUUGUGAUUCAUUUUGAUAUUCUUUUGUUUAUUAGGUAUAUUUUCACUAGAAAAUACAAUGAUAUAGGCCAAAAUCCAAUUGCUCCUAUAAGUCCACCAAUUGUUUUUAAAUGGACUUAUUAGAGUUAUUGGAUUUUAGCAUGUAUUAAUGUUUUUUAGUGAAAAUAUACACGGUUAACAAAAGAUUAUCAAAUUGGCUCUCAAAUUAAAUUUUUCCGCACAUGUUCAGCGUUGUUUGUCUGGUGAUUUAUUUAGCUCCUGCAAUUGCUUCUCUUAUUAUUGUUAUUUUUAAUUUUUCUUUAUUUUUAUUUUUUUUUUACUUUACGA
Molecule: long non-coding RNA, 676 nt
Organism: Vicia villosa (hairy vetch)
Lineage: Eukaryota; Viridiplantae; Streptophyta; Magnoliopsida; Fabales; Fabaceae
Exons: 3
Source: RefSeq, a predicted model, not a curated record